UCCACCUCCCACCCGUGUUUAACGAACCUUGUUGCUUCGGCGAGCCCGCCUCACGGCCGCCGGGGGGCAUCUGCCCCCGGGCCCGCGCCCGCCGAAGCCACCUGUGAACUCGUCUGAAGUAUGUAGUCUGAGACAAUUAUUAAAUUAAUUAAAACUUUCAACAACGGAUCUCUUGGUUCCGGCAUCGAUGAAGAACGCAGCGAAAUGCGAUAACUAAUGUGAAUUGCAGAAUUCAGUGAAUCAUCGAGUCUUUGAACGCACAUUGCGCCCUCUGGUAUUCCGGAGGGCAUGCCUGUCCGAGCGUCAUUGCUGCCCUCCAGCCCGGCUGGUGUGUUGGGCCCCGUCCCCCUUCCCGGGGGGACGGGCCCGAAAGGCAGCGGCGGCACCGCGUCCGGUCCUCGAGCGUAUGGGGCUUUGUCACCCGCUCUUGUAGGCCCGGCCGGCGCCAGCCGACCCCCUCAAUCUAUUUUUCAGGUUGACCUCGGAUCAGGUAGGGAUACCCGCUGAACUUAAGCAUAUCAAUAAACGGAGGAA
Molecule: ribosomal RNA, 534 nt
Filed under: Penicillium vancouverense
Lineage: Eukaryota; Fungi; Ascomycota; Eurotiomycetes; Eurotiales; Aspergillaceae
Description: eukaryotic LSU rRNA
Rfam family: 5.8S ribosomal RNA (bases 153-306)
Source: RNAcentral